UCGCAGGCUGCAACCCGCCUGCGUGAAGCCGGAAUUGCUAGUAAUCGCGGAUCAGCAUGCCGCGGUGAAUACGUUCCCGGGCCUUGUACACACCGCCCGUCACACCAUGAGAGCCGGGGGGACCCGAAGUCGGUAGUUUAACCGCAAGGAGGACGCCGCCGAAGGUAAAACUGGUGAUUGGGGUGAAGUCGUAACAAGGUAGC
This 203-nucleotide ribosomal RNA is filed under the name uncultured bacterium. RNAcentral's name for it is "partial 16S ribosomal RNA". It matches the Rfam family "Bacterial small subunit ribosomal RNA", at positions 1298 to 1500 of the family's 1533-position model. The record is from RNAcentral.